UAUGCGCAUGCGCGAUGCGGGAAAUAUUGUAAACACCAUAACAAAGAUGGCGAACACCCGAUCUAAGUGGAAGGGUUCUGAAUCAGUUUUAACCGAGAGCACGAAGAAACGAAGAAUCGAGAACAUGAUUUUAACUUCACAAAGACGGGCACUUAUCUUAGAGACAGAGCAAGCACAUGGCAUCAGUUAAUAAAGGCCGAAAGGAUUAAAACAGACCCUCAGCUGGCCAAGCUAAUGCUUGAACAGUUUUGAAAGCAAGCAUAAGAUCUAGAGCGUCUGGUCAUAAAGAAACUGAAGCUAAUUCAAUGAAGAUGACCACACACAGGCGGCACGGAGUCCGGCCACCACGGACGACACUAGUCCUGAAACCACACACUUGGAUAUCACAGGAUAUAUAACACUAAAGUUCUCGCAGGAAAAUAGUGCCAUACAAGGUGGAAAGGACAUACCAACACAUCCAGGGACUUAUUUAUCUGAUAGUGGCCAACAGAAAAACGGAUAGAGCUGGAAUAUCUAACCAAAACCCCUGCAUCAAAUAGAUCCCAGAAGAUUCAUAUUGACUCUCCUAGCCCAUGUUCCUCCACCAUCCACUGCCCAACUGGUAGAGGAGAAGAAAUCUCUAUUAAGAUUAAUGGGAAAAAUUGAAAUUUUGAGACUUAUCAAGUUCCAGAGACUAUUACUUUUGAAUAUCUGUCCUUACAUUUAUUAGCUCACCUGGUCCGAACGACCAAGAUGAGUGUAUGCCAUACUGAGGCGUCCGACAUCCAUCUUGUCAACAUUGUGAACACAAUAUUUGAAUAACUUGAGUAAAUAUCAGAAUAUACCAAAUUUGAUAAAAGUUAAUACAUAUAUCGACAAGAUCUCAGACAACUUCAAAAAUGGAAAUUAUAUGACAGUAGUUUGCAGAGUUAUUGCCCUUUGUAAUGUUCUUAUUAUUAACAUUUUUUUAGUUCACUGGUCAGAAUGGGAACUCUUUAAAAUUCUACUAAUUCUGAAGAACUAAAUUGCACUAAUAAAAUAUUGAUGUUAACACUCACUAGUGAUCUAUAAACUCUCAAAAUUCAUUGAUGUCAACACCCACUAGUGCUCAAUAGUUUUUUAAUGUCAACACUCACUAGUACUCAAUAGUCAUGGAUGUCAACACUCACUAAUACUCAAUAGUCAUGGAUGUCAACAAACACUAAUACUCAAUUGUCAUGGAUGUCAACACUCCAUAAUACUCAAUAGUCAUUGAUGUCAACACUCCAUAAUACUCACAUAAAUAUUGUGAAUUUCAUGACCCUGUGGAGGGGGUAAUGUUUAUAUAGGGAAAUCACAAUUUUGAUCAGCAUGUUUGAUUUCUAUUGAAAUUCAUUCUAACUUCAUUAACAUUAUCAGCAUGGGGUGACAGCUUGAUGGCAUGCACAUGUUGGCCCUGACUGACCUUCUUGGCUGAUGGGCGAUGCUAAAAAUGGUCAAUUUAAUUGAAUAUUUCAAAACCCGGGUGACCAUUAAGGCCCAUCGGCCUCUUGUUUUACAUAAGCCAGUAUCGUUGAAAACUGAUGCAUAUGAAAUAUUGUAAAUAAAACAGAAGUUUUCCAUGAAUUCAAUAAUUUA
This is a long non-coding RNA of Pecten maximus, 1596 nucleotides long. RefSeq lists it as uncharacterized. NCBI's taxonomy places the organism in Eukaryota, Metazoa, Mollusca, Bivalvia, Pectinida, Pectinidae. The transcript is spliced from 3 exons. The record is from RefSeq and is a predicted model, not a curated record.